RNAcentral lists this ribosomal RNA (474 nucleotides) under Veillonella dispar. RNAcentral's name for it is "bacterial SSU rRNA". It matches the Rfam family "Bacterial small subunit ribosomal RNA", at positions 28 to 471 of the family's 1533-position model. The record is from RNAcentral. Lineage: Bacteria; Bacillati; Bacillota; Negativicutes; Veillonellales; Veillonellaceae.
GACGAACGCUGGCGGCGUGCUUAACACAUGCAAGUCGAACGAAGAGCGAUGGAAGCUUGCUUCUAUCAAUCUUAGUGGCGAACGGGUGAGUAACGCGUAAUCAACCUGCCCUUCAGAGGGGGACAACAGUUGGAAACGACUGCUAAUACCGCAUACGAUCUAACCUUGGCAUCGAGGAUGGAUGAAAGGUGGCCUCUAUUUAUAAGCUAUCACUGAAGGAGGGGAUUGCGUCUGAUUAGCUAGUUGGAGGGGUAACGGCCCACCAAGGCGAUGAUCAGUAGCCGGUCUGAGAGGAUGAACGGCCACAUUGGGACUGAGACACGGCCCAGACUCCUACGGGAGGCAGCAGUGGGGAAUCUUCCGCAAUGGACGAAAGUCUGACGGAGCAACGCCGCGUGAGUGAUGACGGCCUUCGGGUUGUAAAGCUCUGUUAAUCGGGACGAAAGGCCUUCUUGCGAAUAGUUAGAAGGAUUG